GUGGAAUGAAAUAAAAUCCACACCAAAAUAAAACCCAUAACAGAACCGUGUUGACCUAGAGACUCCAGGACUUCAGGAGGAAUUUGCAGGCAAUUUUGUGGCUCCUCUCCUUUGCCUCAGCUCCAACCACAGCCUCAGCACUAAUAAAUGUAUUUACAAGUGGUUUUUGCUCACUCCAUUGAAUCAGCGUGCCCAGGGUGAGUUUCCAGGUCCUGACUUCCCCCUGGGAUUUUGGGAAGGGGCUGGCUGCUGGCUGAGGUCUCUGAUUUAAUCACUCAACCUUACCCUUCUCCUUCAUUUGCAAACCCACAAGGGCGUGUGAAGAGUUUGAGUCAUCUCUGAGUCAGCUCCUCUGAGCACACAGAACCCGAGGCCAGCAGCUGCAGAAAGGGAAUUUUUCUGGAUGAUGGAGAAGGAACCAUCCUGGCACGAAAGGUCUCAGGCUCCAGGCACGACCCUGAGGAGGAGCCAGCAUUCCUCAGCCUCCCCCUCUGCAGGCACCUGUGAUGGAGCAGCAGGACCUGGGAUCCCUCCUUGUGCUGCUGAGCCAGAAAACAUCACAGUGUGAAAAAUAUGUAUUU
RNAcentral lists this long non-coding RNA (581 nucleotides) under Zonotrichia albicollis (white-throated sparrow). RNAcentral describes it as "lncRNA (ENSZALG00000011822.1)". The record is from RNAcentral. Lineage: Eukaryota; Metazoa; Chordata; Aves; Passeriformes; Passerellidae.